This 2828-nucleotide ribosomal RNA is filed under the name Emticicia sp. CRIBPO. RNAcentral's name for it is "23S ribosomal RNA". It matches the Rfam family "Bacterial large subunit ribosomal RNA". Lineage: Bacteria; Pseudomonadati; Bacteroidota; Cytophagia; Cytophagales; Leadbetterellaceae. The record is from RNAcentral.
AUAAUGAAGAGUUAAUUAAGGGCGUACGGGGGAUGCCUAGGGUCUCAGAGGCGAAGAAGGGCGUGAUAAGCUGCGAAAAGCUACGGGGAAGAGCACAUAUCUGUUAAUCCGUAGAUACCCGAAUGGGGCAACCCAAUAGACUGAAGGUCUAUUAUUCUGACUAAGUUAGAAGGCGAACGUGGGGAACUGAAACAUCUAAGUACCCAUAGGAGAAGAAAACAACAGUGAUUCCGGAAGUAGUGGCGAGCGAACCCGGAUUAGCCCAAACCCGUGAUGUUACGGCAUUGCGGGGGUUAUAGGACUGCAUUUAGAAUUGCUUUUAAAUUUGAACGGGAUGGGAAACCCGGCCAUAGAGUGUGAUAGCCACGUAAGAGUAAUUGAAGCAGGACGAGCAGUAUCCUGAGUAGGUGGGGACCGGUGAAAUCCCCUCUGAAUUCGGCAGCACCAUCUGCCAAGGCUAAAUACUCCUGAGACACCGAUAGUGAACUAGUACUGUGAAGGAAAGGUGAAAAGCACGGGGAGUACCCGGGUGAAAUAGAACCUGAAACCGUACGCUUACAAGCGGUCGGAGCUAAGUGAUUUAGUGACGGCGUGCCUUUUGCAUAAUGAUCCUACGAGUUACGGUCACCAGCAAGGUUAAGAUUUUAAGAAUCGGAGCCGAAGCGAAAGCAAGUCUGAAUAGGGCGUUAAGUUGGUGGCUGUAGACGCGAAACCUAGUGAUCUACCCAUGGUCAGGUUGAAGGUUGGGUAAGACCAACUGGAGGACCGAACUGGUAUACGUUGAAAAGUGUUCAGAUGAACUGUGGGUAGGGGUGAAAGGCUAAUCAAACUGGGAAAUAGCUCGUACUCCCCGAAAUGUAUUUAGGUACAGCGUUGGAGUUAAGUCUUAUCGAGGUAGAGCUACCGAUUGGAUGCGGGGGAGUCACAUCCUACCAAAUUCAGACGAACUCCGAAUGCGAUAAGAUAUAUCCAGCAGUGAGGGCUCGGGUGCUAAGGUCCGGGUCCGAAAGGGAAAGAACCCAGAGCUACAGCUAAGGUCUCCAAAUCUAUACUAAGUUGAACAAAGGAAGUCCGACUGCCGAGACAGCCAGGAUGUUUGCUUGGAAGCAGCAAUCAUUUAAAGAGUGCGUAACAGCUCACUGGUCGAGCGGGGCGGGCAUCGAUAAUAAACGGGCAUAAAGUAUAGUACCGAAGCUUAGCAUUGUAAUAGUAAUAUUACACUGGUAGGGGAGCAUUCUGUCGACGGCGAAGGUGUACUUUGAGGUAUGCUGGAGUUUACAGAAAAGCAAAUGUAGGAAUAAGUAGCGAUAAUGUAUGUGAGAACCAUACACACCGAAAGACUAAGGAUUCCUCCGCUACGUCAAUCAACGGAGGGUUAGUCGGAUCCUAAGGAUAAUGCGAGAGCAGAUGCCGAUGGGAAGCAGUUUAAUAUUACUGCACCUGUGUACAGUGCGAAGUGGGGACGGAUUUUAAAGCUCGAUACGUAGAGACGGAAUUCUGCGUUGAGGGGAAGCUUCGGCGGAACCGAAUUGGGGGAUAAGAUUCCAAGAAAAGCCAAUAAGCUCUAGCUGUACAGAGACCGUACCGUAAACCGACACAGGUAGUCGAGGCGAGAAGCCUAAGGUGCUCGAGUGAUUCACGGCUAAGGAAUUAGGCAAAUUAACCCUGUAACUUCGGGAUAAAGGGAGCCACAGCAAUGUGGCCGCAGAGAAAUGGCCCAGGCGACUGUUUAGCAAAAACACAUGGCUAUGCGAAGAUUAAUGUCGACGUAUAUGGCCUGACACCUGCCCGGUGCUGGAAGGUUAAGAGGGGAUGUCAUCGCAAGAGAAGCAUUGAAUCGAAGCCCCAGUAAACGGCGGCCGUAACUAUAACGGUCCUAAGGUAGCGAAAUUCCUUGUCGGGUAAGUUCCGACCUGCACGAAUGGUGUAACGAUCUGGGCACUGUCUCAGCCGUGAGCUCGGCGAAAUUGUAGUGACGGUGAAGAUGCCGUCUACCCGCCACGGGACGGAAAGACCCCGUGAACCUUUACUAUAGCUUAGCGUUGGGACUGGGUAUCUGAUGUGUAGGAUAGGUGGGAGACUGUGAUGCGGCGUCGCCAGGCGUCGUUUAGUCAACGUUGAAAUACCACCCUUUAUAUAUCUGGUUCCUAACCUCUGAAAGGGGGACAUCGCUUGGUGGGUAGUUUGACUGGGGUGGUCGCCUCCAAAAGAGUAACGGAGGCUUCCAAAGGUUCCCUCAGCACGCUUGGUAACCGUGCGUUGAGUGCAAUAGCAAAAGGGAGCUUGACAGUGAGACCGACAAGUCGAUCUGGAUGGAAACAUGGGUAUAGUGAUCCGGUGGUUCUGCAUGGAAGGGCCAUCGCUCAAAGGAUAAAAGGUACUCCGGGGAUAACAGGCUGAUCUCCCCCAAGAGCUCAUAUCGACGGGGAGGUUUGGCACCUCGAUGUCGGCUCGUCACAUCCUGGGGCUGGAGAAGGUCCCAAGGGUUCGGCUGUUCGCCGAUUAAAGUGGCACGCGAGCUGGGUUCAGAACGUCGUGAGACAGUUCGGUCCCUAUCUGUGGUGGGCGUAGGAAGUUUGAGGGGUUCUGAUUUUAGUACGAGAGGACCGAAUUGGACGCACCUCUGGUGUAUCUGUUGUCUUGCCAAGGGCACGGCAGAGUAGCUAAGUGCGGAUGGGAUAAACGCUGAAAGCAUCUAAGUGUGAAACCCGCCUCAAGAUGAGACUUCCAUAGAGGAACGUUGGAGAUUACGACGUAGAUAGGCUACAGGUGAAAGUAUGGUAACAUAUUCAGCCGAGUAGUACUAAUGAACCGAAGACUCUUCAAAA